Molecule: unclassified non-coding RNA, 507 nt
Filed under: Hevea brasiliensis (rubber tree)
Lineage: Eukaryota; Viridiplantae; Streptophyta; Magnoliopsida; Malpighiales; Euphorbiaceae
Source: RNAcentral
UUUUGCUUGGUUUGGGGUUGGUUGAUUUGUAAAGUAGUGUAUUUCUGCUAGGAGGUUGGCAUUUCUGCUGGUUUGCAUUUAUUUAUUGAGAAGGGAAAUAAUUUCUUUGUUGUUGUAGUUAGCAAGUAAUGAAUUGUUUUUGAGUUUGAAAGUUUAUAGAUUAGGACUAUUUGACUUGAUUAUUCUUGUUCAAAGUAGCAAUAUUAGCAUAAAUUCCUUUACCCCUUUAUUUGAAUGGACACAUUAUAUGUUUGAUGCUAAUUGCCAAAGGGUGGUAAUUUUUUAGCCUCUGUUUGGAUGAUGGCGAAGGAGGUGUAAAUAAAGGUAAGGAGGUUUAGAAAUGGGUGAACUAACUCAAAUCUCAAUUUGUCUUACAGGAGAGUAAACUAUUUUAUUUCUUGAUUUGAGCCCAGAGAUUUAGUGCUGGUGCUGAAGCAUUAUGUGGACGUGCACACACUGCACAGAGAUCCUUUUUUUUUCUCCUUUUUUUUUUUCCUUUCUUUUGUG